GGUUGUGGCUCAGUGGUACAGUGCUUGCCAAGCAUGUGUGAGGCCCUGGGUUCAAUCCUCAGCACCA
RNAcentral lists this transfer RNA (67 nucleotides) under Marmota monax (woodchuck). RNAcentral's name for it is "tRNA.Ala". Lineage: Eukaryota; Metazoa; Chordata; Mammalia; Rodentia; Sciuridae. The record is from RNAcentral.